This is an RNA transcript of Phragmites australis (common reed), 3791 nucleotides long. It is a transcript of the gene named putative disease resistance RPP13-like protein 1, with no coding region annotated. The record is from RefSeq and is a predicted model, not a curated record. NCBI's taxonomy places the organism in Eukaryota, Viridiplantae, Streptophyta, Magnoliopsida, Poales, Poaceae. The transcript is spliced from 4 exons.
UCCAUUAGCUUUGCGAUUGCAAGGAAGCUUCCUCUUGUGCCUUACUAUAGCCAACACUGCCUAGAACGACCUGCAGCCGCCUAUCCUUGUUCUAGUCUCCCUCUUCCGAGAGCUUCUAAUGGAUCCGGUGAGCAUUGCCGCCGUAGGGUGGGGCAUCUCGACCGCAGGUUGGCUUGUCUCUCCAAUCAUCUCCAAGCUCCUCAACAAAUGCUCCUCCUACCUUGGUUUUCGCUCGUCGGAUGAGCUCGAGAAACUCGAGAGCAAAGUACUACAGAUGAAGCUGAUGCUUGAAGCAGCUGAGGCCAAUCCUCAGAGGGGCAGAUUGGAGCAGUGGACGACGAAGCUCAAGUCUGCUUUCUACGAAGCCGAAGACAUCCUUGACGAAAUUGAUUAUCACCAGCUGGAAAAUAGUGUCCUAUCUAAAACGAAUUUUCGACGCCGCACGAAGCAGGAUGCUGAAAUCAAUGUUCCUAGAUUGUUAAGAGAGAAACUGGAGUUUACCUUAAAAAGGAUAGAAACCCUAAUCAAUCAAGGACAGGGACUUCUUCCAUGGGUCAAGUUGCCAGCCACCUGUUGCAAUAUCAAGAAUACACCGAACAAUACUGUGACAUCGCCCACUAGAACUACUACUUCAACUCCACCAGUUGAAGUAUUUGGCCGUGAAGAUGAUCGUAAAAUGAUAAGAAGAAUGCUUCGUGAUACACCUGCUGCUGAUAAAUCAAGCUCAAGUAGAACUAAAUGUUAUUCCGUAAUUGGUAUCCAUGGCAUUCCAGGUUCAGGGAAGACGACCCUCGCACAGUAUGUUUGUAAACAUGAAAGGGAAGAUGCUUAUUUCGACCUCGUCAUGUGGAUUCAUGUUUCUCAGAAUUUCAGUGUGAAUACUGUUUUCACUGAGAUGUUGGAGAUAGCAUCAAGUAAGAAACAGGAUCAGCUUUGUAAUCUUGACAUGUUGCAAAGGGAAUUGGAAGCAAAACUGAGAGGCAAAAGGUUCUUCUUGGUACUGGAUGACGUCUGGAAAGGUGUCAGUGACCAGCAACUGGAUCGAUUACUUUCUCCAUUGAUGGUUGGGAAGAUGGGAAGCAAAAUAUUGGUGACCACUCGAUCUGCAGAUGCAGCAAGAGCUCUUGGUGCUCAGAAACCGGUUUCAAUGCCUGAAAUGGAUAAGGACCGAUACUUGAAAAUGUUCAUGUAUUAUGCACUUGGUACCAUGAGUAGUGACCAAGCAUUAUUUACAGAGCAUUAUUUGAUUGGGAGAAAAAUUGCUGAAAAGCUACGACGAUCACCUCUGGCAGCAAGAACAGUGGCAGGACAGCUAAGGAGAAGACUAGAUAUUGAUUUUUGGAGAAGGUCCCUGAACCGUGACUUGUUCAGUGAUACUAUGGGAGCUCUAUGGUGGAGCUACCAACAACUUGAAGAGCAUGUCAAGCAAUGUUUCACAUAUUGUAGUAUGUUCCCCAGAAGAUAUCAGUUGCAGCGAGACGAGCUAGUUCAUCUGUGGAUAGCACAAGGGUUUGUGGGUACGGAAGAUAUCGGUUAUGACUGCUUUGAUGUGCUACGAUCAUGCUCAUUUAUUCAACCAAAAGGAAAACUUACUAGUGGUAUAGAGUACUUUACAGUUCAUGAUCUAUUGCACGAGUUAGCGGAAAGAGUUGCUGGAAGUGACUGUUUUAGAUUUGAGAAAGGUAAGAGGGUGGAUCAAAUUCCUCGAGAUGUUCGGCAUCUUUUUAUUUCCUAUGGCGUAAGAGUCCCUACAGAGCAGAUUUUGAAGCUGCGUACCUUGCGCACUCUAAUAAUGUCUGGAUAUGCCGAGAAAAUGACUAAAGAAGAUUUCGAGCGCAUGCUCAUGAGUCUAAAGAAGCUGCGGGUGGUGCAUGUAAGGCUCGAAAUUUUGCAUGAGAUCCCAUCAUGUAUUGGUCAAUUAAAACAUCUUCGCUAUCUUCGUCUUUAUGGGUCCGAUUUCGUCAAGAUAAUUCUGCCACCCACAUUUACCAAGCUCUACCAUCUGCAGAAGUUCUAUGUCUCACGUGACACCAUUCUGCAUUGUUCCUCCGGUGUGGAAAUGCCCAAUCUUGUCAAUUUGCGGCGCAUAUUAUGUCGCGAGUUCAACUUUCCUAACAUAGGGAGGAUGACGUGGCUCCGAACUCUGCGUGUCUUCAGGGUGAGGAAGACAAGGGGUUAUGAGAUACAGCAGCUGGAGCACCUGGACAACCUUCGUGGAACCCUAAACAUCGAAGGACUUGAAAAUGUUGAUAGCGGGGUGGAAGCUCGUCAGGCCAAGCUAGAUAAGAAGGUACAUGUCUCUGAUCUGGCACUUGAUUGGAAAACCUAUAAGAUAUCGGAAAACCAUGAUGGCCGAAAGUCAAAGAACUCAUUUAGGCCCCCAAGACAUUUUCGCAUUCAAGAGGAUGUCCUUGAGGCCCUCCGUCCACCGCCCGGGAUCACAUCACUGGAAAUCAAAAACUACAGUGGAUCGACAUACCCAAGUUGGCUGUCGGGAAAACAGGGCACCCUACAGAACCUGAAAUGUCUCCACUUCUCAAGUUGCAAUGGAUUGGAUGCUCCCCUCAAGAUUAGCAAAUUUCUCGUGUACUUGCGUAAACUUAUUGUUUCAUACUGCAGCUGGAAAUCUUUGCCUGAGAACAUGGAACAUCUAAAAUCUCUCGAGGAAUUAAUUAUUGGUAACUGCUCGGAGAUCCGAUCACUGCCAAGAUUACCUAAGUCCCUAAAGAAACUUUCACUUUCCCAGUGUAACCGCUCUCUCGUGAAAAGCUGUCAGACGGUUGGACAUCCAAAUCGGCAGAAGAUUGAGCAUAUCCCUGAGAAACGCAUUUUUUAACUUUCCUUUGCAACUACAUGUAGCAGCAGUCUGCACGGGUCAGAGGAUGCACGGAGCUGAUGGAGUAUCAUGGAGGCACACAACUAUACGAGCCUAAGCCCCCUUCAACACGCCCACUUCUCGAUCCAGCUUCUCUGCAGUCCCUCCCGCAUGCUCGGGUGUCAUAUUGGUCGUGUGUAUCAAUGAUGUGAAGACAAUGUUUCGUAUUUCAUUUGUGACUAUGUGCACGGGACAUGGCUUUAAGGUUUUGUAUUUGAAACGGAGUCCGUUUUCGGUACAGGAAGAUGGAUGCAUCAGCGCAUUUCUGGGGGUUCUUCAUGCGUCUACAGAUGAAUUAGAGGAGGCUGGCUAGUGGCUAUGCCAUAAGAAUUUGGUGGCAACUGAUGAUCUUUUCUGCUUCUCUGCUAGUGAUUUGGUCUUCUAAUUGCUGAGAGUGACUAGGGGGUAACCGUUUCACCCAAAGUUUUAAAGCUUCCCCAUUACUGUCGAUGUUGCAUCCCCAAUUCUUUUCUUUAAGAUUUUCGGAAGAUUUUACAAUUUUCUGCUAGGGAUUUUAUCUUUUAGCAUCUUUUCUUCUUGCUCCUAUUAUUCUGUAUAGCUUUUCAUUUCAUGAGUACAAUUUUUUGUGUUUAUCUUUGUCGUGAAAAGCAGUAGACGGAGAUUGCCAUUCAAUCAUAUUGGGACAUGGCUUUAUUGUUUUGUAUUUGAAAUGGAGUCCAGUUUGGGAACAGACAAUUUGUUACACAUUUGUAAUUUGUGGCCUGCGUAUUCUGUUCCUGCAAUGUGUAUGUAGGAGCUGGUUAUUACUCUACAUGUUUCAAAAACCCAAUGUAUCGUCAUUUUCAAAGCUGCUACGAAUUUCUGGAACCAAGACCUUUUUUUGUUGGAGUCAGUGAACCAUUGAUUUCCUUGGAAUAGAAAGAUGGAUGCAUCAGCGCAUUUAGCUCUCGGAAAA